Molecule: ribosomal RNA, 735 nt
Filed under: Azadinium poporum
Lineage: Eukaryota; Dinophyceae; Gonyaulacales; Amphidomataceae
Description: LSU rRNA
Rfam family: Eukaryotic large subunit ribosomal RNA
Source: RNAcentral
UAAGCAUAUAAGUAAGCGGAGGACAAGAAACUAAAUAGGAUUCCCCCAGUAAUGGCGAAUGAACAGGGAAGAGCUCAGCAUGGAAAUCGGGGCCUCCCGGCCUUGAAUUGUAGUCUUGAGAUGUACUGCCAACGGAGGCGCAGAUGUAAGCCUCUUGGAAAAGAGCAUCAACGAGGGUGAGAGUCCCGUUUGUCAUCUGCAGUCCCCCGUGUACGGUGUACAUUCUAAGAGUCACGUUCCUCGGGAUUGGAGCGCAAAGUGGGUGGUAAAUUUCAUCUAAAGCUAAAUAUUGGUUCGAGACCGAUAGCAAACAAGUACCAUGAGGGAAAGGUGAAAAGGACUUUGAAAAGAGAGUUAAAAGUGCCUGAAAUUGCUGAAAGGGAAGCGAAUGGAACCAGUGUUCUUGAUGAGAUUGUCGUGUACUCUGGUGAUUGCUGGGUGCUCCACCGCAAGGGGGGCAUUUGGUUUUGAGCUAGAUGUGCGUGGUGUUUCUUGUCUUGUGUGUCACCGUCGGUGCAUGAGCGAGUAAACCUCCAGGGAGAUGGUAUCUUGACCGCGGUUGAGUGAAUGUCUCUGGCAGUACUCAUUUAUGUAUCGAUCCCUGCGUGUCUGGUUGCAGUGUUUGAGUCGUCUGGAAGCUCCUGAAAGGCUUGCCCUCGAAGGACUUUCUGGGCACCUCGAGCAUCUCCCUGACACAAAGACGAUGACUAAAUGGUUCUAUUCGACCCGUCUUGA